AACGAACGCUGGCGGCAUGCCUAACACAUGCAAGUCGAACGAGACCUUCGGGUCUAGUGGCGCACGGGUGCGUAACGCGUGGGAACCUGCCCUUAGGUUCGGAAUAACUCUCCGAAAGGGGUGCUAAUACCGGAUAAUGUCUUCGGACCAAGGAUUUAUCGCCCUUGGAUGGGCCCGCGUUGGAUUAGCUAGUUGGGAGGGUAAAAGCCUACCAAGGCGACGAUCCAUAGCUGGUUUGAGAGGAUGGUCAGCCACACUGGGACUGAGACGCGGCCCAGACUCCUACGGGAGGCAGCAGUGGGGAAUAUUGGACAAUGGGCGAAGGCCUGAUCCAGCAAUGCCGCGUGAGUGAUGAAGGCCUUAGGGUUGUAAAGCUCUUUUACCCGGGAUGAUAAUGACAGUACCGGGAGAAUAAGCUCCGGCUAACUCCGUG
RNAcentral lists this ribosomal RNA (433 nucleotides) under uncultured bacterium. Its description in RNAcentral is "partial 16S ribosomal RNA". It matches the Rfam family "Bacterial small subunit ribosomal RNA", at positions 29 to 507 of the family's 1533-position model. The record is from RNAcentral.